UUCUGUAUGCAUGUCAAAGAUUAGAGACGAGGAAGGUGAAUCAAGGUUGUUUCCAACCUGAGGCUGAGAAGAAUGGAAGCCUUGGAAGGUGCCCGCCUCGUCGGGGGUUGUGGCCACAACUGCCUUAAUCAAUGUUGCAUUCCAGGUGCAAAACUUCCAUUGUAUGCCUUCAAGAAACUGAACGUGAAUGAUGGUGACACGGGUUUGCUCGGACAUGAGAAAAGAGUCUCCCGUUGCAUUUCUUGACACACUGCUUCUCAAGGAUGUAAAUUGAUAUACAGGAGAUGAAGAAAGAAUCACCAGCUUUGUUUGUUUCCUUUUGUAGUUAACAAUUAUUAUGGAAUAAAAUUGUUUACCACUCCAUGGUACAGUGGGAGGAUCGCAUGCAGAGAUGGCUAUUUCGCUAUGAUGUCGAGCUUAGGAACAAUGUGUAUGUAUAUGUACUACUUAUUUGGGAUAUGGGUACCAAUUUCUUUGAUAAUUUGGUGUAGGUGAUCCCAGGGCAAUUUGGUUUCAUAGCUGAGCUGAAUGAGGGUCGCCAUUUUAAGAAGAGGCCAACAGAGUUUCGAGUUGAUAAGGUUCUCCAGCCCUUUGAUGGCAGCAAGUUUAACUUCACUAAAGUUGAACAAGAGAAGGUUCUGUUCCAGUUGAAGCCAGCGAUGAUGGUGAAGCUCAGCUAGUCACUAAGGGUACAGUUGAUGAAAACGCCUACGAGAUUGGGGAAAGGAAGUAGUGCUAGAUGUUGAAGCCCUGGAAGCUGGCUUGGAGAUGGAUAAUAAAGGUGACACAUCCACCAUGGGAGAGAUAUUAUCGAAACUUUUGCUUGUUAAAGAUUUUAGAAAACUUACAGUCGAUCUGCUGGUAGAGAAACUGUAACUGGAAACUUUUGUAAUUUAGUUUUUGUAUUUUUCUAGUCACCCAAUAGCCUGAUGUAUCAAACCUAGAAGAUUACUUCUUGUAGUUUUUUCUUUUUUGUUCGGACAUCUUGUAUGUAUAUUUUCAUAUAUUUUAUAAUUAAAUAUUUUUUCUU
This is a non-coding RNA of Malus domestica (apple), 1030 nucleotides long. The record is from RefSeq and is a predicted model, not a curated record. Lineage: Eukaryota; Viridiplantae; Streptophyta; Magnoliopsida; Rosales; Rosaceae.